This 361-nucleotide ribosomal RNA is filed under the name uncultured bacterium. RNAcentral describes it as "partial 16S ribosomal RNA". It matches the Rfam family "Bacterial small subunit ribosomal RNA", at positions 338 to 696 of the family's 1533-position model. The record is from RNAcentral.
CCUACGGGAGGCAGCAGUGAGGAAUAUUGGUCAAUGGGCGGAAGCCUGAACCAGCCAAGUCGCGUGAGGGAUUAAGGCCCUGCGGGUCGUAAACCUCUUUUGCCGGGGAGCAGUGGUCCGGACGCGUCCGGACCGGGAGAGUACCCGGAGAAAAAGCAUCGGCUAACUCCGUGCCAGCAGCCGCGGUAAUACGGGGGAUGCGAGCGUUAGCCGGUUUGAUUGGGUUUAAAGGGGGCGUAGGCGGGCAUUUAAGCCGGCGGUCAAAGGUCGGGGCUCAACCCAGGCCUGCCGUCGAAACUGGGUGCCUUGAGUGGGCGAGAAGUAUGCGGAAUGCGUAGUGUAGCGGUGAAAUGCAUAGAUA